This 5055-nucleotide long non-coding RNA is filed under the name Hordeum vulgare. RNAcentral describes it as "long non-coding RNA (HVUL_LNC010887)". The record is from RNAcentral. Lineage: Eukaryota; Viridiplantae; Streptophyta; Magnoliopsida; Poales; Poaceae.
AACGCCACCAUCAAAUCAAUUCAAGACACGACAACGACCAGGCCUAGGAUGAGGUGAACUUGGUGACGGCCUUGGUGCCCUCGGACACGGCGUGCUUGGCGAGCUCGCCAGGGAGGACGAGGCGGACGGAGGUCUGGAUCUCCCGGGAGGUGAUGGUGGGCUUCUUGUUGUACCUCGCCAGCUUGGCGGACUCCCCGGCGAGCUUCUCGAAGAUGUCGUUGAUGAAGGAGUUCAUGAUGGACAUGGCCUUGGAGGAGAUGCCGAUGUCCGGGUGCACCUGCUUGAGCACCUUGAAGAUGUAGAUCUUGUACGUCUCCACGCUCUUCUUGGACUUCUUCUUCCCCUUCUUGUCGCCGCCUUCCUUGGACGCCGGCACCUUCUUCUCCGCCUUGGGCUUCUUGCCCGCGGGGGUCUUCUCCACCGGCUUCUUCUCGGCAGCCUUGGGCGCCAUGGAUGCUGCUGUUGCUGAGUGCUGACUCGAGGGUGCGGGGAGGUUGGGUUUGAAUCGAAGGUCAGGGGAGAUGCAGAUGCUGCGGUGUGGAGAGACGACGGGAGCGGCGAGAUUUAUAUACGGUAAACUGGAAGGAGGAAGGAGGUGGGCAGCGGUUGGUGGAGAGGCUGGUGCCUCGGAUCGAUGGCGUGGAGUGACUCCAGCCGUUUGAUGAUUCCUGGGAUGGACGGACUAGCUGCGCUUGGGCGCGGAUCGGUGACGUGGCGAGAACGUCGCUAGCGGCGCGGGAUAGAUGGCCUGUGGACAACCACGCACUCGGUCGAACGUUACUCCGGCUAUAUUGUGUUCUGGGAUGUACGUACGUACGAGGCGAGGUAGAUGCCAUAUACUCUGGAGUACCACAUUAUGUUAAAAGAAAAAAUCACGUUGCAUAGCAUGAAGGAGAUGCUCAAAAGAUAAAAACAUAAAUAGAGAAGCUCAAAAAAAUGCAUAUAUAAAGUUCACACACCACAGUUCUUUUAAAAAAUAACACGGUAAAAUCAAAGACUUGCAAGUUAAAGUUCGACUUGCAACUAGGAUAAAAUAAACUACAUGCCGGUGGCAUGUCAAGGAUGAACCUAUAGCUGAGAUGGAAAAUAAAACACAGACAAAUAUCAGGAAUCAAAGAUUGGUCAGUGAGAAGAUGGGGAUAAGCCUCGCCGUUGAUCCGGCAAACAAUGACAUAUAUCGGGUCAUAUGAAAAGAAACUUAAGAACAUGACGACACAAAACAAAUGGAACAAGUGAACACGCGACAAAAGAAAAGACGAAGUGAUACAGACAUGCAUAAUUUAGUUUAUACGAACAUUAAAGCAAACAAAAUAGGCUUCUAUAGACUUAGAUGAGCUAAAAACUCGGCUAGGAUUUAGCAGAUCUGAAACAAAACAUCUAGCUACACGAUAAAAAAAAAGAGGGAAUAGAAAAUAACCAACACACAAACAUAAUACUUGCCCACUAAAAAAUGUCAUAUUGGGCGUCACUGGUUCACGCGGAACAAACAAAAAACAGGACACAAUGACAACGAGCACGGUUCAAAAGCAUGUGUUUCCAACAAUAUGUGAGUUAGAUGAAACAUUUUUAACUCUCAUUUAAAUAAGAAUUACCAAACCAAUCUGAAAGGAGACCCAAACUGCGCCAUGAAAACGGUCCAACACAAGACGUGUGCGUGACCAGGUCGAUAAGUAGACACCAACCAAACGACGCGACACAUAACGUGCAUGACAAAAAUAACCCAUGAUCACCAUUUACACGCCAUUAAAAACGAAUAUAUGUCAGAGUGAAAACAAAUUCAUGAAUAUCAAACAAUUAAAUAAAGGGGCAAAAAGAAAAUACAAAUAAAAACAAAAAAUCACGAAUUUUAAGUAGUUCAUAAUUGGAAACAAAUAAUAACAAAGAAAAAAACAAAACAAAACAAACACGAAAACAAAACAAAAAACAAUUACUGGGAGUCAAAUAAAAGUGUACAAAAAUGAAAAGACCUAGAAUUGAGUCGGCACAAAAAAGAAGUAGCAAAAUGCUGUCGACGACGGAUCAAACAAUGGCCCUCUAGAUAUGAGGCUCUCCCGAGGAAUGUGAGUGGACUAUAAACAGUAAACGGAUCCCGUCUUUUCUAUUUAUAGAGAUUGAAAUUGAUGGUGAAUUUACAUGUGAGUCUAACAUCUUUUUAAAAUAAACAAAUACAUGCAUGCACACAUAUAAAAUUGCGAACCUUUCAAGAGACAUAUAAACAAACGUAUUUUACUUAUACGUGGGAUCUAUCAUGAAUAAACAAAUACAAUACUUUCAUGACAGACCAUAUUUCUGUAAAGGACAAAAAUAACAAACACAAAAGUGUGACUUCAACUCAAAAUCGAUAUUGGUUUUAGUUUCUCUUUCCAGCAUACUAUGGUCAUUUGAAAUUCUUUGAUGCAUCAUGCCUCUCAUCGUAUUUUUACCAUCCUUUAGAGCAUCUCUAACACACCCCGUAUAACACCGACCCGUAAAACGUGUUUACAGUUUGUGGAAAAACGAUUUUGCGGGUCGAUGCGGGCGUGAGCAGAGUCACACCCCGUAAAAUGAACCCGUAAAAAAUAAUAUUCUCUGGAGAUACCAAAUUUAGCUCAUUUUUUUCUUCUGGUCGUCCUCUUCCUUACGUCAAUCUAAAAUUGGCACAUACUAUAGGACAGGGCGCCCACCGGCGAACGAGCAAACAAGGAAGACACGGGGCGGGUCGUCGGCUGACGAGCGGCUAGGGCGGGGCACGCGGCGGCCGGACUCCCCUCCGAGCUAGAGCAAGCUAGCUUAUGUUGUGGUUGGGGCUUUGCAACACGAGCUUUGUGUCGCUUGGCUGAACCGUUUUCUACUGUUUGUGCAAAAGAAUGUUGCUAUUGGAACGUGGUUUAUGUUGCGAUCCAAUCCUUUGCAACAUGAUCUAUGUUGCGACUACAACAUGCUUCAUGUUGCAAGCCAAGAGUGAACAUCCACACACGUGUCGAACGCCCGUAAUUGGCUGCUUCGAUGAUGUUGCGACAACAUGCUUCAAUGACGGUAACGGGUGCUUCGGUAACCCUUACGGCGGCAUGCUUCAAACGAUCACGAUGAUGUUGCGAAGACGUGCUUUGACGACCGCGACAAUGUUGUGACACAGGCUCGUCUGCUUCGCCGAUGCUGCGAAAGUGUCCUUCCCGACCAUGGCAAUGUUGCGAUGAUGGCACGACUGCUUCAACGAUGCUACACCAACGGUCUGGCUGGUUCGCUGCUACUGUGAUGGCAUGCUUCAACGGUCGUGGCGACGGAGAAGACGUUAAGAGCAUAUGUCCGCCCGUGGUUAAUUUUUUUUUCUCUUUCCUGUUCGGUCACUGAUCGGGUGCGUCUACACACAUAUGAGGGGUGGUUUGAGACGUCCGGUUGCAGAUGAUCAAGGCUACUCAAAGCAUGCAUCGCUAGUGUUUUGCAUGUAGUGGUGAUGCCCAACUCACUAGGGAAAAUCAAUGGUCACUACCAACUUGCACUAGGCUUGGUGAGAAUGGUUAAUGCAUGCAGUAUGCAUAACGGUCGUCGGAAAGGGAAAAAAAUGUAUUAUUAUUAUUAUUUGCGAAAUGGUACGGUCGUGCAUCUCGAAAAGGAAAAGAAUAUGCUUUAUGCACGCUUUUUUUACAUGAGAGGCAUGGUUUUGCUUCCGUGGGAGGCACGGUUUUGCCUUCGUGAGAGGCACGACCGUGCCUCUCGAAAAUGGGAAAAAACGUGUUUUACUUUCUUUUUUCGUGAGAGGCACGCUUUUGUUUCUGCGGAAGGCACGAUUUUGUUAUCGCCUCUCGGUAAUGAAAAAAUACGCGUUUUCUGCUCUCUCUCUCUCUCUCUUCCGCGAGAGGCACGGUUUUACUUUCACGAGAAGCAUAAUUUUGCCUUCGUGAGCUCUCGAAAUGGUAAAAACUCAUUUUCCAAUUUUUUUCUAUCACGUGAGGCACGGUUUUUUGUUUUUUUUUUCAUAAAAUAAAGUUCGUCAAAAACCUAUCAACAUGUAUUUUGUUUUGAAAAUCUCGACGUGAGAAUCCAACGGUGAAAAUGUUUUAAGAUUUGAACGCAUAGUUUACAAGAUAAAAUAUUUUGAAAAUAUGGAUUUACGAAAAAGGGAAAACUCUCAGGUUACAACAAGUGGCGGACAUGUAGUGCACCAUUUGUCGCAAUCUGAAAAGGUGGAAGUAAUCGUUUAAAGGUAUACUCGUCAACUAGUGAUUUCGGAAGCACACCAGCCAGGCAAUCACGUUUUGCACAAAUAUUAAAGACAAAUAAUCAAAUGAUUUUUAAACUUAGGUUUGAGAUAGCUAUUUCACAUCCGGAUGUGAAAUAGCAAAUCUACACUAUUUUACUCAGAUUCUUUCAUGUUGUGUUUUCAACAAGUUGCUACCUGUUUUUGUUUGUGAAAUCGUAUUUUUCUUACUGAAGAACGUCAAACGUUUGCCCUAUUUUGACCCCAAAAAAAUCUACUGGAUCCUUCAAAGGCCUGACCACUCCUGUUUCUCGGUAAGUAUCAUUUGUCUUGUGUCAUUUGCCUUAAUUCCCUAUGUUUGUCUAAAAGAAUUUUGAAGCAACCUGCAUAUUACCAUUAAACUGACAGUGCCACUCAAGCAUUCUGAAUCAGAAGCCGAUAACAGACAUUCAGAAGCAGCCAUGGAUACAAGAGAAUAUGAUUGGAAGGAUUAGCAUCUUUACUCAUUCCCGGCAGAAUUCAGAGAUAAAUUACAGCCCUUACUGGCUUGUUCAUCGAACUAAUGAAACAGCCACUACAGACUAUGCAAUUACACAAAGGACCCAACCAACAGUGUUCUCAUCCUCGCUCCCUGAUAUGGAACUAAGCAGUGUCAGCUAGUCUACUCCUUCGUGGCCUUCUUCUUGGGAGACUUGGUGUCGGCCUUCUUCUUGGGCGACUUCGCCUCCUUCUCGGCCGCGGCGGGGGACUUCUUGGGGAGCAGCACGGAGUUGAUGUUGGGGAUCACGCCGCCGUGAGCAAUGGUGACGCCGGCGAGCAGCUUGCCGAGUUCCUGGUCGUUGCGGACGGCGAGAAGAAGGUGGCGCGGGAUGAUGCGG